CCGCCCCUCAACCAACCCCCAGGCGGCAAGGCCCUCUCCACGCGCGCUCUCCAGCCUGGCGGGGCCCUGGAAGCCGGGACACGCGGAGGCCGGGAGGGUCAUCGGCGUUUAAGGCAGCCUCCCACACCAAGUGCACCGCCCGGAUCCCCUCUGCACGAGGGCUUUCUGCUUAUUGCUCUUUUCCCCAGCAGCCAGAAUCGUCACCGUAGCGCGGGAAGGGGCCUCGCGGGCCGUCUGCAGCAGGUGCGGCCGGGAGCCGCAGGCCCGCGCGGAUUCCUGCGGAGCUGUAUUUACUUUACAUCCAUGUGAACUGCUGUCAUCACUACUGUGUCCAAGCCCAGAGGAUGAACUGGAAAAGAAGAGAGGGGGAAAAUAAUAAAAAGAGGAAAUUGGUUUUCACAACACACUCAAAGCCUGAGUAACAGAGGAGAACUUUAAUUAUCUCCAGUCACAAAGAGAGACAGGAAAUUUGGACUUUUAAUUAGCCAUUUGGAGUGCAGUUGGGUAUUUUUUUAGCUAGAUAAUUUAAACGCGAAUAAUUCAAGUCUGACUAAAUGAAAGUCACAUAAUCAGAAUGCAAAUAAUUGAAUUUCUACUGCAUUCAUUAAUUCAGUGUGGAGGUGUGUGUGAAGACUACUAUGAUGAGCUGUCACAGCUCAAUAAAAUCUCAGUCAAUUAAUUUUUUCAUUAUCUUAGUAUUAUAUCAACAAAAAAGUGAAGUGUGUAUAUAUAUCUAUACACGUGCAUAUGUGCAUACUAUGUAUUAUAUAAAUACAUAUACAUUAAAUCAAAAUGCAAGGAAAUACCUUUCUGAAUCAUAA
This is a long non-coding RNA of Homo sapiens (human), 821 nucleotides long. RefSeq annotates it as SNX10 antisense RNA 1. The record is from RefSeq and is marked validated. The transcript is spliced from 2 exons. Lineage: Eukaryota; Metazoa; Chordata; Mammalia; Primates; Hominidae.